AGGCUCGUUGGUGACCAGCGGAGGGAUC
RNAcentral lists this ribosomal RNA (28 nucleotides) under Nigrospora sp. RNAcentral describes it as "partial 18S ribosomal RNA". Lineage: Eukaryota; Fungi; Ascomycota; Sordariomycetes; Amphisphaeriales; Apiosporaceae. The record is from RNAcentral.